RNAcentral lists this ribosomal RNA (2082 nucleotides) under human gut metagenome. RNAcentral describes it as "bacterial LSU rRNA". It matches the Rfam family "Bacterial large subunit ribosomal RNA", at positions 3 to 2106 of the family's 2925-position model. The record is from RNAcentral.
UCAAGCUACAAAGGGCGCAUGGUGAAUGCCUUGGCAUCAGGAGCCGAUGAAGGACGUGAUAAGCUGCGAUAAGCUUCGGGUAGGCGCACAUAGCCAGAGAUCCGAAGAUUUCCGAAUGAGGAAACUCACAUGGGAAACCCCAUGUAUCCAUAAGUGAAUACAUAGCUUAUGGAAGGUAAACCCAGGGAACUGAAACAUCUAAGUACCUGGAGGAAGAGAAAGAAAAAUCGAUUUUCUUAGUAGCGGCGAGCGAAAGGGAAAGAGCCCAAACCGGAAAUUUAUUUCCGGGGUUGCGGACAGAACAUUAACGAGAAGUUAUGGAUAAUUGAAGAUGACUGGAAAGUCAAGCCAUAGAGUGUAAUAGCCACGUAAGUGAAAUUCAUAAUAAUCAAGUUCUGAUCCAGAGUACCACGAGACACGUGAAACCUUGUGGGAAGCAGGGAGGACCACCUCCCAAGGCUAAAUACUACCUGAUGACCGAUAGUGAAGCAGUACCGUGAGGGAAAGGUGAAAAGAACCCCGGGAGGGGAGUGAAAUAGAACCUGAAACCAUGUGCCUACAACCGGUCAGAGCCCCUUAUGAGGGUGAUGACGUGCUUUUUGUAGAACGAGCCAACGAGUUACGGUAUGUAGCAAGGUUAAGUACUUAAGGUACGGAGCCGAAGGGAAACCGAGUCUUAAUAGGGCGACUAGUUGCAUGCCGUAGACCCGAAACCGGGUGACCUAUCCAUGGCCAGGUUGAAGCGAGGGUAAAACCUCGUGGAGGACCGAACCACGUUGCUGUUGAAAAAGCAUGGGAUGAGCUGUGGAUAGCGGAGAAAUUCCAAUCGAACUCGGAGAUAGCUGGUUCUCCUCGAAAUAGCUUUAGGGCUAGCGUCGGAUAUGAGUAGUGGAGGUAGAGCACUGAAUGGGCUAGGGGGCAUAGCGCUUACCGAACCUUAUCAAACUCCGAAUGCCACAUACUAUUAGUCCGGCAGUCAGACUGCGAAAGAUAAGUUCCGUAGUCAAAAGGGAAACAGCCCAGAUCGUCAGCUAAGGUCCCAAAGUGUAAGUUAAGUGGAAAAGGAUGUGGGAUUUCUAAGACAACUAGGAUGUUGGCUUAGAAGCAGCCACUCAUUUAAAGAGUGCGUAAUAGCUCACUAGUCGAGAGAUCCUGCGCCGAAAAUGUCCGGGGCUAAAACUUACCACCGAAGCUACGGGCUUGCGUAAGCAAGCGGUAGGGGAGCGUCGUAAUCGGGCUGAAGUCGUACCGUAAGGAGCGGUGGACUGAUUACGAGUGAGAAUGUUGGCAUUAGUAGCGAGAUGUAGGUGAGAAUCCUACAGGCCGAAUAUCUAAGGUUUCCUCAGGAAGGCUCGUCCGCUGAGGGUUAGUCGGGACCUAAGCCGAGGCCGAAAGGCGUAGGCGAUGGACAAUCGGUUGAUAUUCCGAUACCACUACUGAUCGUUAUUAUCGAUGGUGUGACGGAGAAGGAUAGAGUGUGCUAGCUAUUGGAUGCUAGUCUAAGCGUUUAGGGAGUUAGGAAAGGCAAAUCCGUCCUAACAAUUCUGAGGCGUGAUGGGGAAGGUUCUACGGAACCGAAGUACUUGAUUCCAUGCUUCCAAGAAAAGCAUCUAGAGAGAGAUGUAGUGCCCGUACCGCAAACCGACACAGGUAGAUGAGGAGAGAAUCCUAAGGCCGGCGGAAGAAUCACAGUUAAGGAACUAGGCAAAUUGACCCCGUAACUUAGGGAGAAGGGGUGCCUGCGAGAGCAGGCCGCAGAGAAUAGGCCCAAGCAACUGUUUAGCAAAAACACAGGUCUCUGCUAAAGCGAAAGCUGAUGUAUAGGGGCUGACGCCUGCCCGGUGCUGGAAGGUUAAGGGGAACACUUAGCGCAAGCGAAGGUGUGAACUUAAGCCCCAGUAAACGGCGGCCGUAACUAUAACGGUCCUAAGGUAGCGAAAUUCCUUGUCAGGUAAGUUCUGACCCGCACGAAUGGCGUAAUGACUUGGGCACUGUCUCAACUGUGAAUCCGGCGAAGUUGUAGUGCGAGUGAAGAUGCUCGCUACCCGCGAUUGGACGGAAAGACCCCGUAGAGCUUUACUG